GUCAGGCGGGACUACCCGCUGAGUUUAAGCAUAUAAAUAAGCGGAGGAGAAGAAACUUACAAGGAUUCCCCUAGUAACGGCGAGCGAACCGGGAGCAGCCCAGCUUGAGAAUCGGGCGGCUGUGCCGUCCGAAUUGUAGUCUGGAGAGGCGUCCUCAGCGACGGACCGGGCCCAAGUCCCCUGGAAAGGGGCGCCUGGGAGGGUGAGAGCCCCGUCCGGCCCGGACCCUGUCGCCCCAUGAGGCGCCGUCAACGAGUCGGGUUGUUUGGGAAUGCAGCCCAAAUCGGGCGGUAGACUCCGUCCAAGGCUAAAUACAGGCGAGAGACCGAUAGCGAACAAGUACCGCGAGGGAAAGAUGAAAAGGACUUUGAC
RNAcentral lists this ribosomal RNA (372 nucleotides) under Triticum aestivum (bread wheat). RNAcentral's name for it is "partial small subunit ribosomal RNA". It matches the Rfam family "Eukaryotic large subunit ribosomal RNA", at positions 11 to 380 of the family's 3401-position model. Lineage: Eukaryota; Viridiplantae; Streptophyta; Magnoliopsida; Poales; Poaceae. The record is from RNAcentral.